GCCACACCACCCUGAACGCGCCCGAUCUCAUCUGAUCUCGUCUGAUAUCGGACGCUGAGCAGGGUCUGGCCUGGUUAGUACUUGGAUGGGAGAAGGGACAAAAUCUCAAAGUAACUCAAAGGUGC
This 125-nucleotide ribosomal RNA is filed under the name Sus scrofa (pig). Lineage: Eukaryota; Metazoa; Chordata; Mammalia; Artiodactyla; Suidae. The record is from RNAcentral.